Molecule: ribosomal RNA, 2060 nt
Filed under: Pantoea sp. AS-PWVM4
Lineage: Bacteria; Pseudomonadati; Pseudomonadota; Gammaproteobacteria; Enterobacterales; Erwiniaceae
Description: bacterial LSU rRNA
Rfam family: Bacterial large subunit ribosomal RNA
Source: RNAcentral
UCAUCUCCGGGGGUAGAGCACUGUUUCGGCUAGGGGGCCAUCCCGGCUUACCAACCCGAUGCAAACUACGAAUACCGGAGAAUGUUAUCACGGGAGACACACGGCGGGUGCUAACGUCCGUCGUGAAGAGGGAAACAACCCAGACCGCCAGCUAAGGUCCCAAAGUCAUGGUUAAGUGGGAAACGAUGUGGGAAGGCCCAGACAGCCAGGAUGUUGGCUUAGAAGCAGCCAUCAUUUAAAGAAAGCGUAAUAGCUCACUGGUCGAGUCGGCCUGCGCGGAAGAUGUAACGGGGCUAAACCAUGCACCGAAGCUGCGGCAGCGACACUAUGUGUUGUUGGGUAGGGGAGCGUUCUGUAAGCCGCUGAAGGUGGACUGUGAGGUCUGCUGGAGGUAUCAGAAGUGCGAAUGCUGACAUAAGUAACGAUAAAGCGGGUGAAAAGCCCGCUCGCCGGAAGACCAAGGGUUCCUGUCCAACGUUAAUCGGGGCAGGGUGAGUCGACCCCUAAGGCGAGGCUGAAAAGCGUAGUCGAUGGGAAACAGGUUAAUAUUCCUGUACUUGGUGUUACUGCGAAGGGGGGACGGAGAAGGCUAGGUUAUCCGGGCGACGGUUGUCCCGGUUUAAGCGUGUAGGCUUGCAUUCCAGGCAAAUCCGGAAUGCUUUAAGGCUGAGGCGUGAUGACGAGUCACUACGGUGAUGAAGUAACUGAUGCCCUGCUUCCAGGAAAAGCCUCUAAGCUCCAGGUAACACGAAAUCGUACCCCAAACCGACACAGGUGGUCAGGUAGAGAAUACCAAGGCGCUUGAGAGAACUCGGGUGAAGGAACUAGGCAAAAUGGUGCCGUAACUUCGGGAGAAGGCACGCUGGCAUUAGGUGAAGGGACUUGCUCCCGGAGCUGAAGCCAGUCGAAGAUACCAGCUGGCUGCAACUGUUUAUUAAAAACACAGCACUGUGCAAACACGAAAGUGGACGUAUACGGUGUGACGCCUGCCCGGUGCCGGAAGGUUAAUUGAUGGGGUUAUCCGUAAGGAGAAGCUCUUGAUCGAAGCCCCGGUAAACGGCGGCCGUAACUAUAACGGUCCUAAGGUAGCGAAAUUCCUUGUCGGGUAAGUUCCGACCUGCACGAAUGGCGUAAUGAUGGCCAGGCUGUCUCCACCCGAGACUCAGUGAAAUUGAAAUCGCUGUGAAGAUGCAGUGUACCCGCGGCAAGACGGAAAGACCCCGUGAACCUUUACUAUAGCUUGACACUGAACAUUGAGCCUUGAUGUGUAGGAUAGGUGGGAGGCUUUGAAGCGUGGACGCCAGUCUGCGUGGAGCCAACCUUGAAAUACCACCCUUUAAUGUUUGAUGUUCUAACGUAGGCCCGUAAUCCGGGCUGCGGACAGUGUCUGGUGGGUAGUUUGACUGGGGCGGUCUCCUCCCAAAGUGUAACGGAGGAGCACGAAGGUUGGCUAAUCCUGGUCGGACAUCAGGAGGUUAGUGCAAUGGCAUAAGCCAGCUUGACUGCGAGAGUGACGGCUCGAGCAGGUGCGAAAGCAGGUCAUAGUGAUCCGGUGGUUCUGAAUGGAAGGGCCAUCGCUCAACGGAUAAAAGGUACUCCGGGGAUAACAGGCUGAUACCGCCCAAGAGUUCAUAUCGACGGCGGUGUUUGGCACCUCGAUGUCGGCUCAUCACAUCCUGGGGCUGAAGUAGGUCCCAAGGGUACGGCUGUUCGCCGUUUAAAGUGGUACGCGAGCUGGGUUUAGAACGUCGUGAGACAGUUCGGUCCCUAUCUGCCGUGGGCGCUGGAGAAUUGAGGGGGGUUGCUCCUAGUACGAGAGGACCGGAGUGAACGCACCACUGGUGUUCGGGUUGUCAUGCCAAUGGCAUUGCCCGGUAGCUAAGUGCGGAAAAGAUAAGUGCUGAAAGCAUCUAAGCACGAAACUUGCCCCGAGAUGAGUUCUCCCUGACUCCUUGAGAGUCCUGAAGGGACGUUGAAGACGACGACGUUGAUAGGCCGGAUGUGUAAGUGCAGCGAUGCAUUGAGCUAACCGGUACUAAUGACCCGUGAGGCUUAACCUU